GCAAAGGCAGAAAUGGAAGAUCUCUUGAGCCCAGGAGUCCUGGGCUGUAGCGUGCUGUGCCGAUCAGGUGUCUGUACUGAGUUCGGCGUCAGUAUGGUGACCUCCCAGGAGCGGGGACCACCAGGUUGCCUGAGGAGGGGUGAACCGGCCCAGGUCGGAAACGGAGCAGGUCAAAACUCCCUGCUGAUCAGCAGUGGGAUCGCGCCUAGGAACAGACACUGCACUCCAGCCUGGGCAACAUAGCGAGACCCCGUUUCUU
Molecule: unclassified non-coding RNA, 259 nt
Organism: Callithrix jacchus (white-tufted-ear marmoset)
Lineage: Eukaryota; Metazoa; Chordata; Mammalia; Primates; Cebidae
Rfam family: Metazoan signal recognition particle RNA
About the family: The signal recognition particle (SRP) is a universally conserved ribonucleoprotein. It is involved in the co-translational targeting of proteins to membranes.
Source: Ensembl